ACGUAGGGGGCAAGCGUUGUCCGGAAUCAUUGGGCGUAAAGAGCGCGUAGGCGGUCCGGUAAGUCCGCUCUGAAAGUCCGGGGCUCAACCCCGGGAGGCGGGCGGAUACUGCCGGGCUAGAGUCCGGAAGAGGCGAGUGGAAUUCCAGGUGUAGCGGUGAAAUGCGUAGAUAUCUGGAGGAACACCGGUGGCGAAGGCGGCAUCCUGGACCGGCAUUGACGCUGAGGCGCGAAAGCCAGGGGAGCAAACGGGA
RNAcentral lists this ribosomal RNA (253 nucleotides) under uncultured prokaryote. RNAcentral's name for it is "partial 16S ribosomal RNA". It matches the Rfam family "Bacterial small subunit ribosomal RNA", at positions 525 to 777 of the family's 1533-position model. The record is from RNAcentral.